Molecule: non-coding RNA, 318 nt
Organism: Vicia faba (fava bean)
Lineage: Eukaryota; Viridiplantae; Streptophyta; Magnoliopsida; Fabales; Fabaceae
Source: the annotation of a GenBank genome assembly
AUGCCCACCCCUACCCCUUAUCAAUCCACUCAACCUAUACAUCACCCUCCUACUGAUGAUGCCUUAGAUUAUUCUCCUCAACCUAUACAUAUUACACCCCCUCCAUCCCUCAAAAGCAGUCUGCCUCCAUCUUCCACAACCACACCUCCUUCUAACAAUUCCCAUCCUUCCCCUCCUCCCAACAAUAGCCACAAUGAUUCUUCCACUACUGUUAGAAAAACCAGCAGGCUCACUAAACCUUCCACAUAUUUAAAGGACUACCACUGCUCAUUGUUACAAGGUAUCACUCAUUCAUCUCCAUCCUCUAACUCAGGUUAA